UUCUUAUUGGAUGAUAACUGCCACGCGUCAUGUUCUGAUUGGAUGUCAACUCCAUGAAAGAUGAAAUGUAUUAUUGUUUUCAUUGACCAAUCAUAACAUGACACGUGACAAUCAUCAUCC
Glycine soja is the source of this 120-nucleotide non-coding RNA. Lineage: Eukaryota; Viridiplantae; Streptophyta; Magnoliopsida; Fabales; Fabaceae. The record is from Rfam.